GUUCAGUGAUUUUCUCAUGAAAUAUUCUCACACCUCAGGUCAGAAAAAGAAAAAACUCUCUCUGUGAACAUCUUUUUAUUUUUUUUAUAUUUGACUUCUCCAUCUGCCCGCUGUGGCUCAUGUGGAAUGUGAUGGACGCUCAUUCCUCGGCAUCAUGUGGUCGCUGAAAAAACAGAGGAGGACUCUUGUUGGCUGAAGCAUGAAAAGGGAGGCUGGGCUUUAAAGGGGCAUGAAAUGAAGUCCUCAUGCUGUCAGUACAGGCCGUGGUCAGGAUCAGAGUCGACUUCAUGCCUGUGAAUAAUCUUGCUCUGCUGAUUAGGAUUUUCCUUCUGUUCCUCUCGGCAGCUUAAAUUCAGCCUGUAAUCCUGUUUCAUCUCCUCUAUUCCAUAUUUACAGAAACACGACGAUGGUAUCUGAUAGUGUGAUAUGAAUAUUCAAGUUGGCUUUCAACCUCGGACUUUCUCUCGCUGGCAGAGAGAUUUUUAUGUAGAUUUUUUAUUUUGCAGAGGUUUUCAUCUAAAACGGGGAAAAAGGCCUCGAUGCUGCUCUGUGCUUCUUUAGAGUUCUGCUGUUCAAUCUGUCAACGUUAAGUCAGGCUUUAUGACGAACAACAGACACUGAAUACCUCUUCAUUUACUCUCAGCUGAAAGUUAGUCAGCUCUAUAGAAACGCCUGAGAUGGCCUCGCAGACAUACAAUUAUCUCAAGUAUGCAGUAACACGCUGUAGCUCAGACCUCAGCCUCGUCUCAUGUUCAGUUUUCAUAACAACCUCCUUCAACAACUGGAGCUGUUGUUUGUUCACUUUCUGAACCAGCUUGUUGAGUUUUUCAACAGCGGACAGUUGAUCUGGACGUUUUCUAGAACGACCACAUUUCUGUCACAUGGGGGUGUUGUAAAUGAUAAAACAGUUUUAUGACAGGAAACGGGUAUCGGGCUGCUGGUUGACAUAGCAAUUUAAACCUGGGAAAGAAAUAAUGAGGCUACAGUCCUGUCAGUCUUCACUCCCCAGAUAUCCUGUUUCUGUUCAAUCUGACAAAAACCAAAGUCAGAAAUAAACCAUUUAAAAAGAACAUCAUGGGUGAAAACUAACCCAAGUGUUCAUGCUUUCACAUGAUGGAUAGAGAUACGAACCAAGACCCAAACACGUCUCUGUCCCAGCCUGAGGGUCUGUGAGAGUACUGCAUGGGAACUACUUAACGGGUUAAUAAAAGGGGUUAUAUAAGGGAUUGUCCACGAUGGCUGCAUACCAAUUACCCACACAGGUGUCACUCAGGAUUAUACUGGCUGCCAGAUGGACCCAACCGGGCCAAAUACAAAAGAGCCAUCUUGGUUCCUGCUAGAUUUGGACUCUACGGUUUAUAAGUGGAAAUAAUGGAUCCGUACCAACUACUCCUUUGGGUUCAGAGGCUUGAUACUGGAUGGUAAUGAGGCUCAAAUGGAAAUGUUUGUUCUCUAGUCUUCUUACAUGUCACUGAGAUCUGGUCCUCUACUACUAACCUCAUUUCUCCAACAAUCAGGUCUGAGCCGUGAACCCCAGAGAAUCAGAGCUUUUUCUUUGGAUGCCUCCUUCCCCUGAAUCUCACCUGUGUUUUUUUAACGUGUCUUGUUCUCUUAUUAUUAUUGUGUUUUUGCACAAUCAAAAUAAAUAAAUGAUCACUGUUAUCAUUAGCCUUAGUGUAGUGAAUGCAGUUUGAGGUUCAGCAUCCUUCUCUGUGGACAGUUGCUCUUUCUCCUGAGCCACAGCUGCCAAAACCUAGAAUAGAGAAACAAUUCAGCCUCAGAGUGGAAAAGUCCUGGAUUAAACCUGACAGAGACUCUGCUGAACAAAAUACCAACAGCACAGAUGAGAUCCAGCCAGCUGUACAAGCUGUUUUCACCCAAUUUACAGACAGAGCCGGAGCUCAAAUCCCCAUCAUACUCACACUCAUAUUCACUGUUAUCAGUCGGUGUCGGCUGAUUGGACGCCUGCUUUGAAUAACGAGUCUUCAGUUGGAAAAACACAAUGUCAUCAGACUGUGGGGACUGUCUGACAGGUGCUCCACACCAGAUAUCAGCUUCAUUAAUUAAAAACCUUCUUAAAGGCUAAAUUAAAUCAUUUCUUUGUAAUUUGAGGGAAAAACUUAAAGUGUCGCUCAGCAGUCAGAAAUGGUAGUACUGCAUAAGAGUGUCCCAGCUCAGUGGAAACACAGGCUGGACAUCGAUGUCCUACAGAAAACCACGUUUCACUUUGUGUGGAGGUCUCAGACUGAAGUGCAGGAAUCCGUUUAUUAAAUGAGUUUUUGAGAACACUUCUGAGGACUGAUGUUUUUGUCUAACUUUGCAGAUUACAUUUUGUAAAAGAGAAGUGAUCAAAUUUUGGAUGUUGGUUGAAGAACAUGGAUGGAUAACAGUUUUGGGAAUCUGUAUGAACAAAUACAUCCUGAAUUCGGAUCGUGAAAUGCCGACAAUAACGUAGAAUUUGCAGCCGUUGUUUUGAGAGAUUUUGAGUUUUAUUUUCUUUAACUUUAUGGCUUCACAGACGCUGCGUCAUUAAAAUCAAACUGUGACUGGACAGAGUUUUUCUCUCUAUCCUGCUAGAUUUAGCUCAAAACGCCAUUAUCUCUUGCUGACCUGUCAAUCAUUAGUUAUUUUUUCAAUAAUGUGUUUCCUCCAGGUCAAAUAAUUGUUAUAAUAAUAAUAGUUAUAGUUAUUUUUUAAUACAUUAAAAACAGGUCCAAAGUAUUUUUAGUUGAAUCUUUCAGUCAAAACUACGACUUUCAUCUUAAAUUCUGACCUUAACUUCUGAAGUUUUCAGACUUAAACUUAAACAUGCUGUUGAUUUUAUCUUUUUAUUCUUGCACUUUCUCCAACUCUAAAACUUUUAUGAAGUCUUUUAGUUGAUGGUUUUGUUUUGGCAGCUUGUGAAGAGAAACAACUUUUAGUGUUUCUUAACCUAAAAUAUUCAAACUGAGUGAAAUCUGUUCACUAACUUUGCCCAAAUGUAAAAUUGCUCCCACACUAAAGGACACUCUUGUUCUUUUCUUUCUUCUUGUGGGAUGUUGAUCAGAGUCUGAGCUUUAACUGAGUCUGGAUCUGAUGUGAAAAACUGCGGCUCUCCAUUGACCCUGAGAAGUUCUGACUGUCUCAUCAAAAUGUCGCUUGUCCUGACGCCGUCGACAUCGAACUCAUCACCUCAACCUUUUUGAGCAGCGUGCUGUCACAGCUCGAUGCUUUUCACUCCCUCCUCCUUUGAUUCGACCAGUUUCACUUUGAGAGAUGAUGUUUUAUAUCAAUCAAUCUCUGUCUCCAUAUCAGGGGCCGUCUCUUCAAUCUGAGUCAUGAUCUUCAGCCCUGUGAUUCGCCGUGGGUAUGGGUGAAUAAUUGGGGGGCUGAGAUUCAGAGCCUCAGACGGAUCAAACUAAGAAAGAAAGGCGAGGCUGACAGCUCGGGGGGGCUGCCGUAUAAAAGAAGCAGUGAAGCUGCAAGAAGAUGCUAAUUCUUCCCUUUUCAAAGCAGAGAUCCUUCUCCGAGCAAAAAUGGAGUCAGUGACCUUCCUCUCUCGGGUAAUCUAGUUCAGCUUUUAAUAAAACCUACAAUGAUCCUCAGCCUGAUGUAAUAUGCAGAAUACAUGGCCUUUAGGAGCUGCUGAUGGUUUUUCACCAGCUUGACAUUAUUACACUGUCUGCUGUUGUUGUUGUUUUUCUUUAGCACAUUUCUACAUUGUUUGUAAUCUCAUAGUCUCUUAUCAUUUCCUACAGGGAAGAGGUGAACACGGUCUAAUCGCCUUUUCUUCUUCACCCCCCAGCUCCCAGCACCCCUCUGAGGGCAGCCAGCAUGAGAGCUAAUCCCUCAGCAGCUAAUGAGGGCAGAAAGAAUCAGACCCGGACCCUGACUUCUGCACAGAUUUCCAUUUGGCUCCUCCAAUUCUCUCCAUCACGCAGCCUCACUGCCAUGAAUACAAUAGCUGAAAAUGUACAGAGACUAAAGACCGCGGCGAAUGAAUCGAGUUGAGAUUAAGAGCAGUCCUCGUGGUCAAAUCAACGAAGGGAAAAACUCGCAUUAAACUCAGUGCUGGAGAUUUACAUUCUAAUCAGAAACCGAGCUUUCACUUAAUGCACAGAGAUCCAAACAAAUCUACAAUAACAUCACUGCAACAGGAAGAAGGCGUCUAAAUCCUUUCAAAGUAAUGGAAUUACCCAUAAUGACUAGCAUUAACAUUUAGAGCUGUGUCCAAGUGUUCUGGUUGUUGGUUUGAUGCUGCCUCUGUUGCAUUUAGGGAAACAAAACUGUCAGAGUUUUUUAGUUUGCAGACAUGGAAGCAGCAUCCAACAGAGUCCAUCACUGUCAUCAGGUACCUGAGACGAGUUUAGAUCCUUUUAGAGUCCAUCACACUGCAGAGGUAAACAAAAGUAAAACUGGAGUGUUGCUACCACGAGAUCGAAGGUAACAGAGGAGUCCUAAAGGAGUCAAUUUCUGUGUUAAUAGAAAGGUUGAGAAUAAUGUCUUGAGAAAAAACUCUUACUGAAGCCGACACAGUCUAAACAGAAACAGCCUCAAGAGGAGGAGAGGAAAUAUCCGUGAACUGUUGGAGCACAUGAGCUGACAGAAGCAUCUGCAGCAAACACAUUUCUAAAGACUCGGUCGCUGCUUGGGAGGGACUUCUUUGUUGUCCUUUUCAGUGUGACUGCCAAGGUCACCAGCUAUAAAUAUACAUGUAAAGGCAUGUGAGGACUUUAACGCCUCACUUUUCCUUCACUUCACACUCUUUGAUUUAGAAGUCAGGAGUAAAGUCCAGCAGCGUUCUCACAUUAGGCAGUCUCUCUCGUCCUCUGAGUAAGAACUGAUUUUAGGUCAGUUUUGUUUGUCAGUGAAAACUUACUCAGGAAACCUCUCAGUCAUGUAUGCAUGAGUAUGUAACCUCAUAUUUUUAGAGACACCUGUGUUAUCAUGCACUGUUGUUGAAAACAAGCCCAAAAUAACCUGCUGGCUAAGGAUUGUUUAUGCACCCAGUUAAGCUCCGCCCACCAAAACCAUAAUGCUGUAUGUGAACACGAGAAGUCUCUUUAGUAACUGUGAUUAAAGAAAAUUCAUCCUGUGAGAAAUAAACUGGUGGAUCUGAAAAAUGGACCGGAGCUGGUCUGAGGACUAAAGAGCUGCUGCGACGACUUUUAUCCUUUAAAAACGGGAAAGUCUUGAAUAAUACGCUCAUUAAGAUUUAGUGCUGGGGGAGGGGAGUGUUUUUGGUUCUGUCUCUAAAAAAUAGGGCCGUUAGCACCCCCCUUUGGGUAAAUAGGAGAACUGCAGGGGCACAGGGAUAUUCUUAGGAAGAUUAAAAAAAUAUUCGUCAAACAUUAUUUCUUGAACAAUUGUGAUUCAAUAAAAAAUAAAGUGUUUUUAUUGUACGUUUUUUAUUGGGACACAUCACACUGAGGUCCCUUAAUAUACUAAACAUAUGUUGUACAGGUAAGUGGGUAUUUUUCUGCAGUACAUAUACUGUAUAUUAUCAAGUUGGUCGAAAGUCCAGGACUUAAGGAGCCGGAUGUUGCUGUCAUUAGUGCAUCAAUUGAUUCCAUCAAAGUUAUGUUCCAUAUAAACACAGUAUGAGGUUCUGAUAUGAGCUGAGAGGUUUUAAUAAAAACACUUUUACUGACAGGAAUAAUUGACAAGCUGCAGUUUCUCUUUGGCUUUCUUACUGCACUCAGUGGUACUUCUGAAAAGUAUGACCUUCUCAUUUGUUAUAUAACAUGAAUGGUGACUCACAUUAACAUUUUCAAGCUAAAUAUUUCUUUGCAGUAUUUGCACAUUCUGAUAUAUAAAGACAUGCCUUCAAUUGCUCUCCUGUCUAAUGUUACGGAGGCCGAAA
RNAcentral lists this long non-coding RNA (5842 nucleotides) under Xyrichtys novacula (pearly razorfish). Lineage: Eukaryota; Metazoa; Chordata; Actinopteri; Labriformes; Labridae. The record is from RNAcentral.